CAGAAAUAUAAAGAUCACUUUUUAAAAUGUGUGUACAAAAAAAUAAAAAAUAAAAAAAAAAACAUUUUUUAAUAACGCCGCCCUAUUUUUCCGUGAGCUAGGGGCAGGCGCUGCAGGGCAAACAAAUCUUUUUUUGGCCUAAUAUGCAGCAAGUUAUUUCAAGCGGUUAUAUGGAAUUAUAGGAGAUAAAUUCAUUCUGGAUUCAGUAAAUUAUUUGUGAAUUUUCUUUCCUUUAGUUAAUCCAGUGUCCUUACCAGAACAGCUAGGAACUCUGCAUCCCAAGUCACUCACGACUCCGCAAUUACCGACCACAUGAUUUGUAGGAACCAUCUCCAUGAUUGGAAUGCAAAGAUACUGGCAGAAGAACCACACUGGCAGGAUAGAAAAAUAAGAGAAGCUCUCAAGAUAAGGCAAAACAAGAAUACCAUGAACAGGGAUGAUGGGUACGAAGUCCCGCAUUUAUACGAUGAAAUUCUGAAAGGCACGGCCCCCCCCCAGCACCCUCGCUUGGGUAAACCUAAGUGAAAAAUAGGUGUCGCUAUUAACCGAAACGUCAUCGGAAGGUCCGAGCUGUCAUCGCUUCACUUUUGACGAUGCCUCUUGCCAAGAGGCGAAACAUGUCAAGUCUAAUAUGAAAAAAAGUUGAGUGAUCUUCAAGCCAUGAAUACACCACCACCCACAUUGCAACAGGAAAACACUUGCUGAGCAAGGGAAAUCAAGACUGAUUCAUUUGAAUUAGUAAACAGUACUGUACCUGUAAUGGUAGUUGAAGCUUUAGCGAAGUCAGAUUUUUAGAUAAUGCAAGUGAACUGUGGAAAUUAAAAUUUUGAUCUGGAUUUUGGGGCAAUAGAGACAAUUUUUUUUAAUCCUGCGGACACUGUUACGCAAAGCUUAGCAAACUCUUGAACCAGCAUUGUAUCGCAAACUCUGAUGUAUGGACAUGAAGCAGAUGGAUUGUGGGACAUCUACACUGCAAUAGACAUUUAUCGUGCAUUCAAUAAAAUUAGUGUAAAUUAUAAAAAGAUUGAUUGUCAAGUCAGGUUUGUACUUAGUGACUUAGUGACUUAGUGUUAGUCGGAUUCUUGACAUAUUUAAAUGUUGGCCCAAUUCUGCAAUUACUUAAAAUGCUGAGGAUUCUGUACUAAAUUAAAAUUUGGUCCGAUUUUGAACUUAUAAAGGUUAGUUAACAUUUUGUAUUUACUGUAAAUUGUUGGUCCAAUUCUGGA
Anneissia japonica is the source of this 1226-nucleotide long non-coding RNA. RefSeq lists it as uncharacterized. Lineage: Eukaryota; Metazoa; Echinodermata; Crinoidea; Comatulida; Comatulidae. The transcript is spliced from 3 exons. The record is from RefSeq and is a predicted model, not a curated record.